This is a long non-coding RNA of Mercenaria mercenaria, 1097 nucleotides long. RefSeq lists it as uncharacterized. The record is from RefSeq and is a predicted model, not a curated record. NCBI's taxonomy places the organism in Eukaryota, Metazoa, Mollusca, Bivalvia, Venerida, Veneridae. The transcript has 3 exons.
AAGUGCCACCAAUCCAAGCUGCAAAAUUUGACUUGACAAAUAUUUAUGUUCUUUAGUUCUGGGCAAAUGGCCAUAGAAGACUGCCCUAGACUGAUAAGGCCCAUUUUGUGUGGACUUCAACCUGAGAAUAAGACCAGCGCUCAGACAGUGUGAACAUGGAAAGUGAUGCUGUGUAUAGAAGAAGAUUGAUGAUGAAGUAUUAAAGGUUCAGUAUGGAAGUCAAUCUAACUGAUGAAAAGGAUGAACAGAAUUCAAGGUAUAUUUUAUAGUAUCUUUUUUAAAGAGACUCUUCCACAGCUCUUUAACCCUUACCCUGCUAAAAUUCUGUAAUGAACUUGCCCAACUUCCCAUUAACUGCUAAAAGAGGUGCUUACCCCAAAAAUACUGACUGUAUUGCAAACAGUGCAGAUCAUGAUCAGACUGCAUUGAUGUGUAGGCUGAUCAUUUAUUUAUUUGGGUUUUACGGCGCACCAACACAGUAUAGGUUAUAUAGCGCCAAACAGGACUACAAAUUUUGGUUCCACAUCUCAUUUACAUCGAAAUAAAAACAGGAGGUAUGGAAGCAGGCUGAUCAUAAUCUACACUGGUCGCAAAGGCAGAAUCAGUCAUCUUUAGCAUGAUAAGGGUUAAGGUGUUCACCAUUUUAUGUGCAGAAGUGGAUUUUGGUAUUAUUACUUACUGAUGAUUGAAUGGCAGUCAUAUUGAAUCCUCCUUUAAGAAAUUUUAAGUCUUACAGCCAUACAGUGAGAAAACUAGCCCUGUCCCUAUUUCAUGCAGCUAAAUAAAAUCUUAAUGCCUAAAAAUUAACAGGGACAUUUUUGUUCCAAAUGGUUAGCUGUUUUUAAAUAAAAACAAAUUUUCAUACUUCUUGUGUGUAAAAAAUGUGAAUGUGUUAUAAUACUCAUUUUUGUCAUUGAGUGCAGAUAUAAAAUAUUGUGGAGUUCCUAUAGUGGACGCAACUUGACCCCGAUGGUUGACCUUUGCAUUAUAAUACAUAAUAAGGCACAACCUAUUAUUUAAAAGGAGUGUACGUAAAACACGAGCUCCACAAGAAAAAGGAAAUAUAAUUUUGUGUAAAUAUAAAUUAGUGUAUUGGA